Molecule: non-coding RNA, 26 nt
Filed under: Homo sapiens (human)
Lineage: Eukaryota; Metazoa; Chordata; Mammalia; Primates; Hominidae
Source: RNAcentral
UUCAAGGUGACUUGGCUGGUGUGGUA